GCGGGACGGAGCCGGAGAUGAAAUUAAAAAAUGACGCUGCAAUGUGUUGAGUGCGGCCAAAGAUUGCGAGGCAUUUCGUUCGAGAAGAUCUCCGUUAGGAAUUACGUAAUGAAAAGGCCUAGGCCUGCAGGUAAUGCAUGUAUAGUGUAGCCUAAAUUUCCGAGGCAACCUCAGUGAUUUGACCGUGAUUAACCAAACAUGCUACAGGGGGGCACACAGUCUGAUAACUUUAGACCACAUAGGGAACCAAACGGGAGCGGGACAGGAUUCGGGAGUCUUUCUCUCGGGAUUUUGCAGGACAAGAUUUUGGGGGGGGCAGUCACAUGAUCGGGAUAUGACGUGAGUAUUUUCGUGGGCUCGGGAAGGGAUGGGAGCAACAAUUGAUUCCCGUGUCACCCUCUACCACAGUGGUACU
Long non-coding RNA from Sander lucioperca (pikeperch), 415 nucleotides. RefSeq lists it as uncharacterized. Lineage: Eukaryota; Metazoa; Chordata; Actinopteri; Perciformes; Percidae. The transcript has 3 exons. The record is from RefSeq and is a predicted model, not a curated record.